This 598-nucleotide ribosomal RNA is filed under the name uncultured bacterium. RNAcentral describes it as "bacterial SSU rRNA". It matches the Rfam family "Bacterial small subunit ribosomal RNA", at positions 338 to 1411 of the family's 1533-position model. The record is from RNAcentral.
CCUACGGGAGGCAGCAGUGGGGAAUCUUGCACAAUGGAGGAAACUCUGAUGCAGCGAUGCCGCGUGAGUGAAGAAGGCCUUUGGGUUGUAAAGCUCUUUUGUAGGGGAAGAUAAUGACUGUACCCUAAGAAUAAGGUCCGGCUAACUUCGUGCCAGCAGCCGCGGUAAUACGAAGGGACCUAGCGUAGUUCGGAAUUACUGGGCGUAAAGCGCGCGUAGGCCGUUGAGUUAGUUAAUUGUGAAAUCCCAAAGCUUAACUUUGGAACUGCAAUUAAAACUGCUCGACUAGAGUUUGAUAGAGGAAAGCGGAAUACAUAGUGUAGAGGUGAAAUUCGUAGAUAUUAUGUAGAACACCAGUUGCGAAGGCGGCUUUCUGGAUCAACACUGACGCUGAGGCGCGAAAGUAUGGGUAGCAAAGAGGAUUAGAUACCCUCGUAGUCCAUACCAUAAACGAUGAUUGCUAGAUGUUGGAAAUUUAUUUUCAGUAUCGCAGCUAACGCAUUAAGCAAUCCGCCUGGGGAGUACGACCGCAAAGGUUUAAAACUCAAAAUGAAUAAGUAGGCGUUGAGAGUUGCGAACGGCGACACGAGGGAGGAGG